RNAcentral lists this ribosomal RNA (419 nucleotides) under uncultured bacterium. Its description in RNAcentral is "bacterial SSU rRNA". It matches the Rfam family "Bacterial small subunit ribosomal RNA", at positions 355 to 787 of the family's 1533-position model. The record is from RNAcentral.
UGGGGAAUAUUGGGCAAUGGGCGAAAGCCUGACCCAGCAACGCCGCGUGAAGGAAGAAGGUCUUCGGAUUGUAAACUUCUUUUAUGAGGGACGAAGGACGUGACGGUACCUCAUGAAUAAGCCACGGCUAACUACGUGCCAGCAGCCGCGGUAAUACGUAGGUGGCAAGCGUUAUCCGGAUUUACUGGGUGUAAAGGGCGCGUAGGCGGGGAUGCAAGUCAGAUGUGAAAUCUAUGGGCUUAACUCAUAAACUGCAUUUGAAACUGUAUCUCUUGAGUGCUGGAGAGGUAGACGGAAUUCCUUGUGUAGCGGUCGAAAUGCGUAGAUAUCAGGAGGAACACCGGUGGCGAAGGCGGCUUACUGGACGAUGACUGACGCUGAGGCUCGAAAGCGUGGGGAGCAAACAGGAUUAGAUACCC